ACACAAUCACCUUAAGCCAAAAGCUAAUACCACUUAGAUCAUCUCUAGCCAUAACCAGAGUCUCAAUGGCAACUCCAAACCCAAUCGAUUAGCUUCCGCCGCGUCAUAGGUUCACGUCGCACUCAGGCACCUAUAACCUUAGGGUUAACCAACCUAGAGUCUCCUAGGUCAUCCUAGACUCUCUCUUUUGCUUGCUCUUAACUCGCUCUGAUACCACAACUGUCACGCCCCCGACCGCACUCCCCGAAGACGGUAUCGAUUUGGUCCGGUUCGAGGGCGGCGGGCGUGAGGCCGAACGGACAGAGUCUCCCUUGUCCGCCCUAGGCUAAUCAACAAGAUUGUGCACAACAAGUGUCACCCCCCGCGGCCAACCGCCGAUUUGGACCGGGUCGCGGCGCCACCGACAGACCGCCGAACGGACCGGGAAUUCCCCUGUACGCGAACAGAGUCUCCCCAGUACGUCCAAGGCGUCGCAAUCCAAACAAUCAACGAAUGUUCCAACAAGGAACGGAUAUCAAUCCAGAUUGCAUAAGGAAGUAUCAAAUACAUAAACUACUUGCUAUUACAAGCAUUCAUUUCACAAUCACGUUAUACAUCACAGUUUCAGUUUACAUUCUUUUUUUACUUCCAAAUUACAAUCCAAUUAUUACAUCAUUUAAUUUACAAGUUUGAUACAUUUUCUUUUCUUGCCUUCUAGACCCCUAAGCUAGACUGUCUCAGGGUACGGCUACCUCGGUCUCUGUGGUGGGGCGCUAUCUACUGAGCUACGCCCUCGCCUCGCGCCGCCGCGCCGCACACGAACGACCUGAAAACCCGAAAACAACGUGGGGUGAGAACCAACUCCAUGGUUCCCAGUGGGUACGGCCACCCAAGGGAAAAACUCGACCGAUAGGUCCGAGGAGGCACUGCAACAUGUUAGUUCAACAAUAUACAACAGAUAUAUAUAUAUUCAAUUGAAAUACAUGCCAUGCCUCACAAUAUGCGAUAGGAAAAUCAUGCAACAACUAGUAGAUCAUUUGAAUUCUACUUUUACUUGGCUACUUUAGCUCAUAACUUUACUCUAAGGUUUCUAUUACCUUAGGAUCACAACACUAACCACUAGCUUCUAAGGUUUCUAUUNUCUCGAAGCAAUGAGCGGCCAAGUUCACCUUGUCCUUCUCCAAGGUGAAGAUGUCCUCAAAUAGAGUCUCCAUAGCCAUCAGCCAAGACUCCACCGUCGCUGGAUCCACCACCUCUCCGUCGAAAGUAGGUGGGUGAAACUUAGUGAACCUCUUGAGCGCCACAUAGCAGCGCUCACACUCCGCCUCCUCAACCGCCACCGCGGGGGUAGGAGAACUCCAACUCGUCGGAGGAAUAUCCACCGGUGGGGGUUGCGCCGCCACCGGAACUGAUACGCCACCCACACCCUCGGCCGCAUCGGGGGCUCGAACCGAAGGCGCAGGCGGACCGCGGCCUAGACCCGCUGCCGCCGCCGCAACCUGCCGCUCCAGUAGCUCCUGGAGCCUAUCGAACCGUCGCGUGAGCGCCAUAACCUGCGUUCGCAACUGCUACACCUCAGUAGGCCCAGCUGGCACUGGCGCCACUGGAGGCACAGCUGGCUCAGGCACCUCUCGAGGUGGUGUCAGAGCGGUCCUACGCACGUAGCAUCUCAUUGGUGCCAUAGCUCCUGAAACGCAAACAACCGGUUAAUUACUUAACCCAACAUGUCAUCGUAACUACGAAGCGUAAGCGAUUAAACAACAUUAAUCAGGCGGCAGCUUGUAAGUGUACUCGUUCUUGUCUCUCGACAUCAUGUUGUCGGCCGCCAACACAAUCACCUUAAGCCAAAAGCUAAUACCACUUAGAUCAUCUCUAGCCAUAACCAGAGUCUUAAUGCCAACUCCAAACCCAAUCGAUUAGCUUCCGCCGCGUCAUAGGUUCACGUCGCACUCACGCACCUAUAACCUUAGGGUUAACCAACCUAGAGUCUCCUAGGUCAUCCUAGACUCUCUCUUUUGCUUGCUCUUUACUCGCUCUGAUACCACAACUGUCACGCCCCCGACCGCACUCCCCGAAGACGG
RNAcentral lists this long non-coding RNA (2060 nucleotides) under Ananas comosus (pineapple). RNAcentral describes it as "long non-coding RNA (ACOM_LNC021241)". Lineage: Eukaryota; Viridiplantae; Streptophyta; Magnoliopsida; Poales; Bromeliaceae. The record is from RNAcentral.